Molecule: ribosomal RNA, 496 nt
Filed under: uncultured bacterium
Lineage: Bacteria
Description: partial 16S ribosomal RNA
Rfam family: Bacterial small subunit ribosomal RNA
Source: RNAcentral
AUGAACGCUGGCGGCGUGCCUAAUACAUGCAAGUCGAGCGAACGGACGAGAAGCUUGCUUCUCUGAUGUUAGCGGCGGACGGGUGAGUAACACGUGGAUAACCUACCUAUAAGACUGGGAUAACUUCGGGAAACCGGAGCUAAUACCGGAUAAUAUUUUGAACCGCAUGGUUCAAAAGUAAAAGACGGUCUUGCUGUCACUUAUAGAUGGAUCCGCGCUGCAUUAGCUAGUUGGUAAGGUAACGGCUUACCAAGGCAACGAUGCAUAGCCGACCUGAGAGGGUGAUCGGCCACACCGGAACUGAGACACGGUCCAGACUCCUACGGGAGGCAGCAGUAGGGAAUCUUCCGCAAUGGGCGAAAGCCUGACGGAGCAACGCCGCGUGAGUGAUGAAGGUCUUCGGAUCGUAAAACUCUGUUAUUAGGGAAGAACAUAUGUGUAAGUAACUGUGCACAUCUUGACGGUACCUAAUCAGAAAGCCACGGCUAACUACGUG